UAUUAUGCUUAGCUGAAUUUCCUAAAGGAAAACGGGGGAACCACUUUGGGGGUGAAUCGCCAACUGGCGUAGAGCAGUUUUCAGCUCGAAUCCGACAGCUAACCUCGUAAGCGUUGAAACACGUUAGC
RNAcentral lists this small RNA (128 nucleotides) under Desulfosporosinus youngiae. RNAcentral's name for it is "c-di-AMP sequence". It matches the Rfam family "c-di-AMP riboswitch aptamer (ydaO/yuaA leader)". Rfam says of the family: This family represents a conserved RNA structure found upstream of the ydaO and yuaA genes in Bacillus subtilis and related genes in other bacteria. The ydaO/yuaA element is thought to act as a genetic "off" switch for the ydaO and yuaA genes in its native state. It is believed that the element may be triggered during osmotic shock leading to activation of ydaO, a predicted amino acid transporter gene, and members of the yuaA-yubG operon which code for KtrA and KtrB K+ transporters. Lineage: Bacteria; Bacillati; Bacillota; Clostridia; Eubacteriales; Desulfitobacteriaceae. RNAcentral also lists the same sequence under 1 other name. The record is from RNAcentral.